UUAUUAUUUACAUUAAUAAUUAAUUUGUGCAAUUCAGAUGAGUUUGAUUAAAUAUUUUGUUAUUUUUAUUUUUAUUAUUGUUAUUUUUAUAAAAAUAAUUUUAUUCUCAGUAUAUUUUAUUGAAAUAUUUUUUUUAAUUAUAGUUUAUAAGUAUCGUGAGAGAAUUAUUUUAUUUUUUUAUAACAAUUUUUUAAUUUAAGUACCUUUUGCAUCAGGGUUUAUUAAAUAUUUAUUAAUUAUUUUAUUUUUCCCGAAAUUAUAAGAUUUAUAUUUAUAUGAUUGUUGAUGUUUUAAAUUCAUAUUAAAUAUAAAUAUAGUGGUUAUAUGCUAUUCAUUUAUUAAUAUAUCUAGUUAUUUAAUAAUCUUAUUUAAUAAGGAAGUAUAAUCUUUAGUAUUAAUAUUUUAUUUUUAUUAUUUUAUAUUUUUAAUCAAUAAAGGAUAAGCUUUUUUGAUUUUAUAUAACUAUAAAUAUAUUUAAGUUUAGUAGGAUUAGAAACUUCCAUCAUUAAUUUCGUUAUAGUUUAACUUGAAUUUGUUUUUAUUUAUUUUUUGUUUAUUUUAUUAUUAAAUUAAAUUAAUUAAUUUAUUAUUAUUUAUAAUAAUGAUAAAAUUAGUAUUUUUUAAAAUUAAAUUAUAGUAACUCGGCAAUUUUAAUUUUCACCUGUUUAUCAAAAACAUGUCUUUUUGUUUUUAUAUAAAGUCUAGUCUGCUCUAUGAUUAUUAUUAAAUGGCCGCAGUAUUUUAACUGUGCAAAGGUAGCAUGAUCAUUUGCCUUUUAAUUAAAGGCUUGUAUGAAUGGCUGGAUGAGAAAUUAACUUUCUUUAUUUAAUUUUAAAAAACUUUAUUUUUUAGUUAAAAAGCUAAAAUUUUAUUAUUAGACGAGAAGACC
RNAcentral lists this ribosomal RNA (889 nucleotides) under Anthocoris montanus. RNAcentral's name for it is "partial 16S ribosomal RNA". The record is from RNAcentral. Lineage: Eukaryota; Metazoa; Arthropoda; Insecta; Hemiptera; Anthocoridae.